RNAcentral lists this ribosomal RNA (429 nucleotides) under Pseudomonadota bacterium. RNAcentral's name for it is "Proteobacteria bacterium partial 16S ribosomal RNA". It matches the Rfam family "Bacterial small subunit ribosomal RNA", at positions 355 to 776 of the family's 1533-position model. Lineage: Bacteria; Pseudomonadati; Pseudomonadota. The record is from RNAcentral.
UGGGGAAUAUUGGACAAUGGGCGAAAGCCUGAUCCAGCCAUGCCGCGUGUGUGAAGAAGGUCUUCGGAUUGUAAAGCACUUUAAGUUGGGAGGAAGGGCAGUAAGCGAAUACCUUGCUGUUUUGACGUUACCUACAGAAUAAGCACCUGCUAACUCUGUGCCAGCAGCCGCGGUAAUACAGAGGGUGCAAGCGUUAAUCGGAAUUACUGGGCGUAAAGCGCGCGUAGGUGGUUCGUUAAGUUGAAUGUGAAAGCCCCGGGCUCAACCUGGGAACUGCAUCCAAAACUGGCGAGCUAGAGUAGGGCAGAGGGUGGGGGAAUUUACUGUGUAGCGGUGAAAUGCGUAGAUAUAGGAAAGAACAACAGUGGCGAAGGCGACCAACUGGGCUCAUACUGACACUGAGGUGCGAAAGCGUGGGGAGCAAACAGG